GGGUUGUGAGGUUAAGCGACUAAGCGUACACGGUGGAUGCCCUGGCAGUCAGAGGCGAUGAAGGACGUGCUAAUCUGCGAUAAGCGUCGGUGAGGUGAUAUGAACCGUUAUAACCGGCGAUUUCCGAAUGGGGAAACCCAGUGUGUUUCGACACACUAUCAUUAACU
Molecule: ribosomal RNA, 167 nt
Filed under: Escherichia coli
Lineage: Bacteria; Pseudomonadati; Pseudomonadota; Gammaproteobacteria; Enterobacterales; Enterobacteriaceae
Description: partial 23S ribosomal RNA
Rfam family: Bacterial large subunit ribosomal RNA
Source: RNAcentral